AACUGUUUUUGAGCCACCUCACAUGGCUAAGGUGGUAUUCUCAAGACAGUGGAGCAUCCAGAGACAUUAGACUCAUCCAUCUUGGAAGACCCCACCCUGCCCCCUUCGCUUUAGCUGCUUGUGGAUUGUGCCUCUGAAUCCUUUCUAGCUUUUCUGGAAUCCCUCAGAUUAAAGCUCAAGAAAAGGCUGGAGAAAGAGGAUUCUCCAGCGCACAGCAGGGACCAUGUUGCUGCUCAGUUCGUGAUUCCACUGAAAAGUUAUGCCUGAGUUCUUACAGUACCCUGGAACAUCAUUCAUCAUAGCCAGGGUGAAUUUGCUGUACACAGGAGUGAUCCUUCUCGUCUGCCAUGUCCAUGGGUGUGUGAGAAAUCUACAUUGGAGCCGAAAGAAUUGUAUCUUCUCAGUCCAUAUUCAGAAGGUCUCUAAGUCCACGAUGACAGGAAAAUCUUCAGUGGUUCCAGAGACAAGCAGCCAGAAAUCCUGCACAUUUAUUUCCUAGAAGGAAGUGAGCUGAUGAGGAGAGUGAUCCCUUCAGAGAGAUCCUCUCUUUUAAAAAUGGACUCCAAGUUAAGCCAUAUCCAUUUCUGGGACCCUGAUGUGGCUCUCAAAAGCGGAUGUCACUUGCUUAAUGUUAAGUGAUUUCAAAAGCCUUAAUCAGGGGAGAGUAAAGGUGGGGAGGAAGAUGGUGAAUAAAUUGUGAGCACCUACCAAGUAAUGGGACAUGUCUUUAAUUCUUAAGCAUCAUGUUCUAUUUCACUUUGUUAUUUCAACUUAAAAAAAGAAAAGAAAACUGUCUUUUUAAAAAAGAUACAUUUUUGCUAUUAGUAUUCUGUACUUAAUAUCUGAGUACAGAUCCAUCAUUCAUUAGGUCUAUGGUAGGUCACAGCCUAAUUUUACAAAUUCAGAACCCUAAGUCAGAUCAACUCAAUUGCUCAAGGCAAUGUAUUUGCAAGUUAGAGUAAGCACUGAAAAUUUUCUGUCCUUGGACUGGUGUAGUGGGCAGUGUUGCUUUUCUGGAAGAAUUUGUUCAUACCUUAGAUUUAACACAGUUUUGUUUAUAAGCUGAAAAUAUUUAACCAACAUCUAUUCAUGUAAGAUAAAGUGUAAAUGUAAGCAGUGAUCUAGAAAAUUCAGGGCAAAAUAGUUUAAAUCACUUACAUCUUCCUAGAGGUUCUGUUUUUGUUUUUAAAUCUGAAAAAAAAAAAGUAGUUACUCGAUAGCCUUAGCUCUAAAAUAUACCUGACAGGUUAUUUUUAUUUGUCUGUUUUUCAGAAAUCAUAUCCAUGUUUUUCACUCUCUAUAGUCUUUAGCAAAAUGAAUCAAAGCCACUCUGUACCCAAAGCUAAUACCAAAGUGUUGUCUUUUUUUUUUUUUUUUUAACAUUGCAAGGCUUUACCUCAAGUGCUAUGCCGUAAAUUUACAGGGAAAGAAAAAAUUUAUUAAAUUAUAACCGAGAGGAGAUGACUUUUUUUUUUUUUACAUAGCAAACAAAAAAUUCCUUCAUGAAAGGCUAUAAAACCCAUAUUAUUUACCAAAGAGACCUUUCCUGUCUCCCAGGUAAACACUUACAGUGUGUAGACUUGUGUAAAUACAUAUUUAGGAGUGGCUAAAUAUGGCGAGGUAUUUUUAAAGGCAUAUUUACAAAGCUGAAUACAUAUAUUGGCGUUUUGGUAUGUGUAAACUGUGUAUGCUGCUCUGCUGUCCAUUCAGAAUCCUAGCAGGGCGCUGGGAGAUACACCUUGGAUACUGGGACUGAGUUUCAAAACAUUCGUCUUUAAUAAAAAUUACUAAGGACAGGCCCUUAAAUCAUCUGAAAAGGGUGAAAAUAUUCAACUAAUGGAGUGCAAGUCUUUCUCACCAGUGUGACUUGAGGAAAACUGUUUCAGAAAUACAGACAUCCUUCACGGAAGUAAAUCUUUUUUUUUUUUUUUUUUAAAUCUUUAAUUCUUACAUGCGUUCCCAAACAUGAACCCCCCUCCCACCUCCCAGAAGUAAAUCUUUCUGAACAUUUUUGUGCAAAACACAACCAUCAUUUCACGUUCAGCUUAAAAUAUUAGCAAAUAUUCAAAGAUACAGUCCAGAUGAUGAAUGGAUAGACUAGGAAAUUUUAGUUAAGGCAGAAAAGGCCAUUAAGACCUUUUAAAAAUUACUUUAGAAACACAUGGAAAUUUAAGUGACAAAAACCUGUUGUUAAUUCAAUGGCAGGAAGCUCCCUGUGAUAACGUACCAAAACUUGGUCUAGGGGAUUCACGAUGCCCAUGAGCCGCUCGGUUUCUCGCGAAUUUGUGCUCUAUGAGGAAAAGAAUGAGCCAGGAGCAGGCAGGUUGUAGAUGCACGGAAGGACACUAACCGUGCCUCCACUGUCUGCUCUCAGAGGGAAUAAGGAUCCCAUUUCUGUAAAAGCUCUUUCUAAGAUGGAGAAGUUGAGAGUCUAAAUAACUCUAGAGCUUGGGCUAUCUCAGGGGCCUUUUGCUAAGAAGUCUAAACAAUGCUUCUAUUUCAUUUCUAAUGCAACAUGCAGCUAUUUCUAAAUACUCUCAGUAUCCUGCAAUGGGAUUAUUGAAAAUCUUAUUAUGGCAAACUAUAUGGGGGACAAAGACUGUUUAUUCAGGGAAAUCAUUUCUCCAAUAAAAUUUGCACUGAGCUGUUUUUUUAACUUAAAAAAAAUAUACAUCGUAUGUACACAUUUUUUCCCAAGGUACAAAUACCACAGGUUUUGAUUAAAC
Long non-coding RNA from Capra hircus (goat), 2726 nucleotides. NCBI's taxonomy places the organism in Eukaryota, Metazoa, Chordata, Mammalia, Artiodactyla, Bovidae. The record is from Ensembl.